RNAcentral lists this ribosomal RNA (25 nucleotides) under Opisthorchis viverrini. Its description in RNAcentral is "partial 28S ribosomal RNA". The record is from RNAcentral. Lineage: Eukaryota; Metazoa; Platyhelminthes; Trematoda; Opisthorchiida; Opisthorchiidae.
CAGUUGGCUGCGCUCUUCAUCGACA